RNAcentral lists this ribosomal RNA (205 nucleotides) under uncultured bacterium. RNAcentral describes it as "partial 16S ribosomal RNA". It matches the Rfam family "Bacterial small subunit ribosomal RNA", at positions 524 to 729 of the family's 1533-position model. The record is from RNAcentral.
UACAGAGGGUGCGAGCGUUGUCCGGAAUCACUGGGCGUAAAGGGCGCGUAGGUGGCGACCCAAGUCGAUGGUGAAAGCUCGCCGCUCAACGGCGAGUCGGCCACCGAUACUGGGUUGCUGGAGCACUGUAGAGGCAGAUGGAAUUCCGGGUGUAGCGGUGGAAUGCGUAGAGAUCCGGAAGAACACCGGUGGCGAAGGCGGCUGC